CUACGUGCCAGCAGCCGCGGUAAUACGUAGGGUGCGAGCGUUGUCCGGAAUUAUUGGGCGUAAAGGGCUUGUAGGCGGUUGGUCGCGUCUGCCGUGAAAUUCUCUGGCUUAACUGGGGGCGUGCGGUGGGUACGGGCUGACUUGAGUGCGGUAGGGGAGACUGGAACUCCUGGUGUAGCGGUGGAAUGCGCAGAUAUCAGGAAGAACACCGGUGGCGAAGGCGGGUCUCUGGGCCGUUACUGACGCUGAGGAGCGAAAGCGUGGGGAGCGAACAGGAUUAGAUACCCUGGUAGUCCACGCUGUAAACGAUGUCGAUUUGGGGGUUGAGCUUUGAGCUUGGCGCCCGUAGCUAACGUGAUAAAUCGACCGCCUGGGGAGUACGGCCGCAAGGUUAAAACUCAAAUGAAUUGACGGGGGCCCGCACAAGCGGUGGAGCAUGUGGUUUAAUUCGAUGCAACGCGAAGAACCUUACCUACUCUU
RNAcentral lists this ribosomal RNA (480 nucleotides) under uncultured bacterium. Its description in RNAcentral is "bacterial SSU rRNA". It matches the Rfam family "Bacterial small subunit ribosomal RNA", at positions 501 to 982 of the family's 1533-position model. The record is from RNAcentral.